GACGAACGCUGGCGGCGUGCUUAACACAUGCAAGUCGAACGGAAAGGCCCUGCUUGCCGGGUACUCGAGUGGCGAACGGGUGAGUAACACGUGGGUUAUCUGCCCUGCACUUCGGGAUAAGCCUGGGAAACUGGGUCUAAUACCGGAUAGGAGCCAUUUUUAGUGUGAUGGUUGGAAAGUUUUUUCGGUGUAGGAUGAGCUCGCGGCCUAUCAGCUUGUUGGUGGGGUAAUGGCCUACCAAGGCGGCGACGGGUAGCCGGCCUGAGAGGGUGGACAGCCACAUUGGGACUGAGAUACGGCCCAGACUCCUACGGGAGGCAGCAGUGGGGAAUAUUGCACAAUGGGCGCAAGCCUGAUGCAGCGACGCCGCGUGGGGGAGGACGGCCUUCGGGUUGUAAACUCCUUUCGCUAGGGACGAAGCUUUUUGUGACGGUACCUAGAGAAGAAGCACCGGCUAACUACGUG
This 465-nucleotide ribosomal RNA is filed under the name uncultured bacterium. RNAcentral's name for it is "partial 16S ribosomal RNA". It matches the Rfam family "Bacterial small subunit ribosomal RNA", at positions 28 to 507 of the family's 1533-position model. The record is from RNAcentral.